GAUGAAGAACGCAGCGAAAUGCGAUAAGUAGUGUGAAUUGCAGAAUUCAGUGAAUCAUCGAAUCUUUGAACGCACAUUGCGCCCCUUGGUAUUCCAUGGGGCAUGCCUGUUCGAGCGUCAUUUGUACCUUCAAGCUCUGCUUGGUGUUGGGUGUUUGUCUCGCCUUUGCGUGUAGACUCGCCUUAAAACAAUUGGCAGCCGGCGUAUUGAUUUCGGAGCGCAGUACAUCUCGCGCUUUGCACUCAUAACGACGACGUCCAAAAGUACAUUUUUACACUCUUGACCUCGGAUCAGGUAGGGAUACCCGCUGAACUUAAGCAUAUCAAUAAGCGGAGGA
This 337-nucleotide unclassified non-coding RNA is filed under the name soil metagenome. Its description in RNAcentral is "partial contains 5.8S ribosomal RNA, internal transcribed spacer 2, and large subunit ribosomal RNA". The stretch from base 1 to 120 matches the Rfam family "5.8S ribosomal RNA", at positions 35 to 154 of the family's 154-position model. The record is from RNAcentral.